RNAcentral lists this long non-coding RNA (119 nucleotides) under Parus major (Great Tit). Its description in RNAcentral is "lncRNA (ENSPMJG00000010925.1)". The record is from RNAcentral. Lineage: Eukaryota; Metazoa; Chordata; Aves; Passeriformes; Paridae.
UCAGGGGAAUUUAACUUCACUUAUUCAUUUCACUGUGCUGUGGCAGCACAAGGCUGGGCUGGAUGGAUGGAUGGAUGGAUGGAUGGAUGGAUGGAUGAUGGAUGAUGGAUGGAUGGAUG